Molecule: ribosomal RNA, 253 nt
Filed under: uncultured bacterium
Lineage: Bacteria
Description: partial 16S ribosomal RNA
Rfam family: Bacterial small subunit ribosomal RNA
Source: RNAcentral
UACGUAGGGGGCUAGCGUUGUCCGGAUUUAUUGGGCGUAAAGAGCGUGUAGGCGGCCAGGUAGGUCUGCUGUGAAAACUCGAGGCUCAACCUCGAGACGUCGGCGGAAACCAUCUGGCUAGAGUCCGGAAGAGGAGAGUGGAAUUCCACGUGUAGCGGUGAAAUGCGUAGAUAUGUGGAAGAACACCGGUGGUGAAGACGGUUUACUGGGCUGAAACUGACGCUGAGGCGCGAAAGCAUGGGGAGCAAACGGG